This 725-nucleotide long non-coding RNA is filed under the name Cricetulus griseus (Chinese hamster). RNAcentral describes it as "lncRNA (ENSCGRG00015042853.1)". Lineage: Eukaryota; Metazoa; Chordata; Mammalia; Rodentia; Cricetidae. The record is from RNAcentral.
GCCCACCUUUGAUCUUCCUGCUGCCUUUGGGUCCAGAUGUGGAACUCUCAGCUACCUCUCCAGCGCUAUGUCUGCCUGCCCACCACCCAGCUUUCCACCCUGACAACCACAGACUAAACCUCUGAAAGUAAAAAGAAGGAUUUGCCCUUGGAGUUCUAGGUCACCAGCUAGGACCUUCCUUUGCACCUGUAGCAUAUCUGUUGAAGAAGCUAGACCUGGCUACUCAAGGAUGGGCAUCCUGCAUACGUGCUUUAGCAGCUGCUGAGCUUCUUAUCCGUCUAAAAGGCACCAGAGAGUACCAUAUGGCCCAGACUGCAAUGAAACAACAAUCAACCCCAGGACGUGGCAGCACCCCAACCCCCCAAAGAUGGUCAACGCCCCAGGCCAGCAGGAAGCAGCCUUGAGACAUCUUCGCCCUUACUUCCCUAACCUGCCAAGCCCAAUUCUCCAACUUUUAUAAUAAACAACAGCCGGGAUUAUAAGAACAAUACACCUGGAUGACCCUGACCCCCGCCCCCUAACCACGGGGCACACACCCGCCAUGCAUUGCACAGGUGCAAUGUGAGGACUCUUGCACAGGUGCAAAACCCCAGUGCGCAUAGGCAACCUCCCCUUUAAAAGGUCCUGCCGCCCAUCCCUCUCUCUCUUCCUUUUGGCUCCUCUUGGGUUGGCUGACUACCCAUCCCCCUCUCCCCCCCUUUUCUGGUAAAUAAACUCCACGUGGG